RNAcentral lists this ribosomal RNA (497 nucleotides) under uncultured bacterium. RNAcentral's name for it is "partial 16S ribosomal RNA". It matches the Rfam family "Bacterial small subunit ribosomal RNA", at positions 28 to 507 of the family's 1533-position model. The record is from RNAcentral.
GAUGAACGCUGGCGGCGUGCCUAAUACAUGCAAGUCGAGCGAACGGACUAGAAGCUUGCUUCUCUGAUGUUAGCGGCGGACGGGUGAGUAACACGUGGAUAACCUACCUAUAAGACUGGGAUAACUUCGGGAAACCGUAGCUAAUACCGGAUAAUAUUUUGAACCGCAUGGUUCAAAAGUGAAAGACGGUCUUGCUGUCACUUAUAGAUGGGUCCGCGCUGCAUUAGCUAGUUGGUAAGGUAACGGCUUACCAAGGCAACGAUGCAUAGCCGACCUGAGAGGGUGAUCGGCCACACUGGAACUGAGACACGGUCCAGACUCCUACGGGAGGCAGCAGUAGGGAAUCUUCCGCAAUGGGCGAAAGCCUGACGGAGCAACGCCGCGUGAGUGAUGAAGGUCCUCGGAUCGUAAAACUCUGUUAUUAGGGAAGAACAUAUGUGUAAGUAACUGUGCACAUCUUGACGGUACCUAAUCAGAAAGCCACGGCUAACUACGUG